Molecule: ribosomal RNA, 460 nt
Filed under: uncultured bacterium
Lineage: Bacteria
Description: partial 16S ribosomal RNA
Rfam family: Bacterial small subunit ribosomal RNA
Source: RNAcentral
CCUACGGGUGGCAGCAGUGAGGAAUAUUGGUCAAUGGACGAGAGUCUGAACCAGCCAAGUAGCGUGAAGGAUGACUGCCCUAUGGGUUGUAAACUUCUUUUAUAUGGGAAUAAAACAGGGUAUGCAUACCCUCUUGUAUGUACCAUAUGAAUAAGGAUCGGCUAACUCCGUGCCAGCAGCCGCGGUAAUACGGAGGAUCCGAGCGUUAUCCGGAUUUAUUGGGUUUAAAGGGAGAGUAGGUGGAUUGUUAAGUCAGUUGUGAAAGUUUGCGGCUGAACCGUAAAAUUGCAGUUGAAACUGGCAGUCGUGAGUGCAGGAGAGGUGGGCGGAAGUCGUGGUGUAGAGGGGAAAUGCGGAGAGGGGGGGGGGGGGGGGUAUUGCGAAGGCAGAUCACUGGACUGCAACUGACACUGAUGCUCGAAAGUGUGGGUAUCAAACAGGAUUAGAUACCCUUGUAGUC